UAUGUACUCCCUCCGUCCGAAAAUACUUGUCAUCAAAAUUGAUGAAAAAGGAUGUAUCUAGAACUAAAAUACAUCUAGAUACAUCAUCUUUUAUUUUUUUGAUGACAAGUAUUUUCGGACAGAGGGAGUAUUUC
Molecule: non-coding RNA, 134 nt
Organism: Triticum aestivum (bread wheat)
Lineage: Eukaryota; Viridiplantae; Streptophyta; Magnoliopsida; Poales; Poaceae
Source: Rfam